RNAcentral lists this long non-coding RNA (221 nucleotides) under Vitis vinifera (wine grape). RNAcentral describes it as "long non-coding RNA (VVIN_LNC004621)". Lineage: Eukaryota; Viridiplantae; Streptophyta; Magnoliopsida; Vitales; Vitaceae. The record is from RNAcentral.
GACCCCAAACAUCAGAAUGUACUAGCUCAAACAAAGACUCAGCCCGUUUAUUAAGCCGUGGGCCUAAAGAACUACGAUGAUGCUUCGCAAAAUGACACGACUCACAAUCUAAUGAAGGUAAAGUAUCAAACUGAGGACAUAAUUUCUUCAACACCGGUAGAGAAGGAUGUCCUAACCGACAAUGAGCUUCAACAGGAGAGGCAGUACUGACACACGCAACU